UAAAAAAUUUUGGCGGUAUUUUAAGCUUAUUAGAGGAAUUUGCUCUGUGAUGGACACAACGCCUUAAUCUUACUUAAUUUAGUAAUUUAAAUCAGUUUGUAUACCACUAUAUUAAUUAUAUUGAAUAGUUAUAUUUAAAAUUUUUUUAAAAAAAUAUAUUAAGUCAAGGUGCAUCUAAUAAUUAUGAAUGAAGUGAAUUACAUUAAUUUUAAUGUAAUUUUUUUUCAUGAAAAAAUUAAUUAGGAUUUAAUAGUAAAAUACUAAUAUUAUGAGUAUUUGAAUCAAGCUCUAAAAUAUGCACAUAUCGCCCGUCGCUCUCAGAAGUGAGAUAAGUCGUAACAAAGUAAAAAUACUGGAAAGUGUUUUUUAAAAUGAAAUCCUUUGAUGUUUCAUUUACAAUGAAAAUUUUGUUGUUUAACCAUUUUAA
RNAcentral lists this ribosomal RNA (427 nucleotides) under Ixodes scapularis (black-legged tick). Its description in RNAcentral is "partial 12S ribosomal RNA". The record is from RNAcentral. Lineage: Eukaryota; Metazoa; Arthropoda; Arachnida; Ixodida; Ixodidae.